Molecule: long non-coding RNA, 1901 nt
Filed under: Salmo salar (Atlantic salmon)
Lineage: Eukaryota; Metazoa; Chordata; Actinopteri; Salmoniformes; Salmonidae
Description: lncRNA (ENSSSAG00000104180.1)
Source: RNAcentral
GAAUCUGCACGAACCCGGGCUACACCAAUGAGUUUACCACACCAAUCUUAGUUGAUUAUUUAUUAACUAGCAAGCUAAAAUGAUGAUUAAAAAUACACAUACACAAAACACAGUCUAGGCUAUUGAUUAGGACUUAGUAUAACGGGCCAACACACUAUGGUGCGUGUUACCCAAAAUGGGGAUUUAAAAGAGAGAGAAACAAAGAAAGUACACGAGACAAAUAUAAAUUUGGGUUCAUUUGUCAGCUAUGCUUAUUUAAACCUAGCCUUUCCCCGAACUGCAGCUCUUAUGGGUCAGAAUAUAAUGAUGUAAUUACGUGUUGGAGAUCUCAGAUGGGCGUCCUGCGUGGCUCGUUUAGGCUUCUCAAGGGCGCCCUGCUCCGACGCAACUCUCUGAUUGUCCUCACGAUGUCAGUGUCCUUCUUGGCUUGAUGGUCUGAUUUCUUCCCUUUUCUCUGUGGUGUCGUCUGAGGACAGACAGCUCUGUAGCUCAGAGCUCACAGCGUAUGAAUGAAAUAGCCUAGAUACCACGAUUCGAUGAAGAGUGGAGGCUAGGUGGUUCGGCUUGAAUUCACCCGCUUAGACACAGCUACUCAUCCGUAGCUCGUGUAGAAAAAGAUUUCUUUGUCUUCAAACUUUGUGUUGCGUUUUGGGGUUUGUUGACCAUUUAGACCUUCGCUGCAGCUUGGGGUCUCUUUUAGUCUAAUGUUAAUUCUCCAGUCUUCUGUCUUAUACCCUCGGGUCAGAAGUGGGUGUAACCGCCUUUAGGGCAGUUCUCUGGGCGUACCAAGUUAAGGGACAAGGCCUAGAUUUUACUCAAAUCCAAUUUUAGACACUAACUUCACAUCACAUCUUUACCAAAACAUUCUCUUUGAUUUGGAUAUUUUCCACACAACGUACAAUGUUUUCAUAAUAACGUCAUCUGUUAACCUUUAAUAAUAAAACAAAAAUUACAUACAUUUGCAUAUUCCAUCUCUCCUCAUGACCACCAUUGUCGCUGACGGAAACCAUUGUUCCAAAGUCCCUUUAUUGCAUGUUUAAUGUUCUGAGGCCAGUUCUCCAUAGUGAGGACACAGGAAUUUCUCUGUGUCCUAGGAUUUAUCAUGGGCGUGAGGGGUCAUAAAACCCCCACAUCCUCAUACCCCUAGAUCUCUCCUCCUCUGUUGAGGGUUGAGAGAGACCAUGUAGGAUUGUGGUCUCCUGUAACCUGACCUGAUCAGGACAGUCAUGACACCACUAAACCUGGUAUAUCCCAGGUUUUAGUUCCUUUACUGGUAUGUCUCAGGUAAUUCUGUUACAGAAGAUGUUAUGAAUUAAGACCAGCUCACAUUGCUUUAUUUUGGGACUGGACUGGCACAUAUAAAAACAUAUUCAUGUACAAUCAUUGUAUGUAUCCCUUUUUAAACUCCAGACCUCCACACUGUAGUGAUGUGUUGAUGACUGAAUGCAUGUGUUGUCCAUGUACACACAUCUGAACACUAAUUGUGUUUCGGAACUUUUGUCUUAAGAAUGUUUGUUUUUUUCAAACUUGAUUGGUGAAAGCAGUACAGAGGAAGGUCCAUAUAGGGCUGGGUUGAGCCAUCACCAACAUACAUAUCUGUGAAUACUGAGCUGGGGAAAGGGACUAGUUGACACUAGACUUAGAUCAUUCUCGUUGCAUGCACUGCAUGACUUCUCAGCCACGUUCGCCAAACGGAUCACACCACAGGACUGACGAUUCCUAAAUCAAGUGUCAACUCCUUCUGAGACAUGUUGCUGUGCAAAACAAAUGCACUUGAAAGCGCAGUGUGUUAAAUAUAUUUUAUCUGCAAUGAUUGAAUUUCAGCCUGCAUAUGCAAACAAUCCUUUGUGAAUUUGAGGUGUUUAAUAUUUACAUUUUUUCAAUAAAGGAGUUGAGUUCUA